AUUGAACGCUGGCGGCAGGCCUAACACAUGCAAGUCGAGCGAGCGGCGGACGGGUGAGUACUGUCUGGGAAACUGCCUGAUGGAGGGGGAUAACUACUGGAAACGGUAGCUAAUACCGCAUACCAUCAGAUGUGCCCCUUCGGGAUUAGCUAGUAGGGGGGGUAACGGCUCACCUAGGCGACGAUCCCUAGCUGGUCUGAGAGGAUGACCAGCCACACUGGAACUGAGACACGGUCCAGACUCCUACGGUAGGCAGCAGUGGGGAAUAUUGCACAAUGGGCGCAAGCCUGAUGCAGCCAUGCCGCGUGUGUGAAGAAGGCCUUCGGGUUGUAAAGCACUUUCAGCGGGGAGGCGGUACCUGAAGAAGAAGCACCGGCUAACUCCGUGCCAGCCGCCGCGGUAAUAG
RNAcentral lists this ribosomal RNA (406 nucleotides) under uncultured bacterium. Its description in RNAcentral is "partial 16S ribosomal RNA". It matches the Rfam family "Bacterial small subunit ribosomal RNA", at positions 30 to 526 of the family's 1533-position model. The record is from RNAcentral.